RNAcentral lists this ribosomal RNA (487 nucleotides) under uncultured soil bacterium. RNAcentral describes it as "bacterial SSU rRNA". It matches the Rfam family "Bacterial small subunit ribosomal RNA", at positions 30 to 543 of the family's 1533-position model. The record is from RNAcentral.
AGAGCGAACGCUGGCGGCAGGCCUAACACAUGCAAGUCGAACGGACCCUUCGGGGUUAGUGGCGGACGGGUGAGUAACACGUGGGAACGUGCCUUUUGGUUCGGAAUAGCUCCUGGAAACGGGUGGUAAUGCCGAAUGUGCCCUUCGGGGGAAAGAUUUAUCGCCAUUAGAGUGGCCCGCGUCUGAUUAGCAAGUUGGUAAGGUAAUGGCUUACCAAGGCGACGAUCAGUAGCUGGUCUGAGAGGAUGACCAGCCACAUUGGGACUGAGACACGGCCCAAACUCCCACGGAGGCAGCAGUGGGAAUCUUGCGCAAUGGGCGAAAGCCUGACGCAGCCAUGCCGCGUGAAUGAUGAAGGUCUUAGGAUUGUAAAAUUCUUCACCGGGACGAUAAUGACGGUACCCGGAGAAGAAGCCGUGACUACGUCGUCGCCAGCGACGCCGUACGGUAACUCGUAGACGGCGGCGUCGGACGAAGGCGACAGUAG